Lathyrus oleraceus (garden pea) is the source of this 2104-nucleotide long non-coding RNA. RefSeq lists it as uncharacterized. The transcript has 3 exons. The record is from RefSeq and is a predicted model, not a curated record. NCBI's taxonomy places the organism in Eukaryota, Viridiplantae, Streptophyta, Magnoliopsida, Fabales, Fabaceae.
AUUAACAUGGAGACUCAGAAUUCAUUAAAGAAACCUAGGUUUCUCAGUCACUGCGCCGCCCUCGAUCACCGCGGCAUCGCCGAGAAAAUCUCCACAUACUCGAUUCAACUUACUUGCUUCUGAAUCUCAAAUGAGCGAACAACAACAAGAAUGGGAAGCCGAGACUCAAAUGUCACCGUCAAAACCGAUGGAGGUUUCUCAUCAUGCGUGAAUCGAAGGGGUCGGAGGAAGAGAUGCUUACCGAUUGACUCCGGUGCGGUGGUUAUGGAUGACCUACUCCUUUCGUCUUCUUCUUGACGCAUUCAAUCUCUCUUCGGUUACUUCAAUGUUCGUGUUUUACCCUCGACCAAAGGACACCGCACGAGCACACAGAUUCACGGUUAGGAUGAAACGAAGGUUUGCGCCUCGUCCCAACAUCGUUUUUGUCACCGUUCCGUCGUAGAGGAAAUGGGGCUCAAUUCAGUCGGAUUCGUCAUAGACUCCAUUCCUAUUUCAUUGCAUGUUGGUUCAAGAUUGACGAGGUUUGUUGCGAGUGAUGAAGGGUGGUUUAGAGAUGGAGUUGUAUGUUCAGGGAGGGUUAUCGAAGGAUUGUGGUAGGAAUCAAACGUUGAAUCGUGGCGAGGUUGUUGCAGUUAAGGGUUUUUGGUGGUUAGAACAGUUGAGGGUUGAAGAUGUUGAACGAAUGAUGGAAAGGUUUUUGUCAAGAGAUUGUGAGACGGUGGAGGGUGAUGAAGAGGUUGAAAGGAGGGUCCGUUCUGAAAAUGGAGAUGGAGUGAAGUUGGUUCUCUUAUGCAAGUUGCAGGUUCUGUGUGGGUUUGGUGUUGUGAAUGAAAAAACUCCUUGAAGAUCACAGGAGAGCCUUCCUGUUAUAAGGGUUUUCUUUUUUUGAAGAAUGCUUCCAGGUUUUUAGAGUUUUUUUUCAUGUUUGGUUAAGUGAAGGGUUCGCUAGAAAUUGGAGGAAGAGAGUCGGUUGAAGGGUCCUGUUAGCCAGUUAGUUAUAAACAGUUAUAGGGGUUAUUCUGUUAUAUCGGUUGGUUGAGAAUUUUUUGAAAGAAAGUUUUGUUAUGAAAGCAGAUGGAGUUUAUGGAAGUUAUUUGAAGGUUCCUUCUAUUAUGGGGAUUGGAGAAGGUUUGUUGGAAAGUUGGUUAGGAGUUGUAGAGUUUUGGUUCAACUGGAAGUUCUUGAUGUCGGUUCUUGAAUAGUGGUUCGAAGAUGAAGUCGCGAUGAUCUCAUUAUAGGUUUUUUCUCUAUUUCUUAUUAUUUUUGUUUUGGGUUUUCUGUUAUAUUAAUUUUGAAGUUUGUUGGACAGUUAGAAUUUUGGUUAAUUCUGUUUGUUGGUUCUAUUAGGUUGUUAUCAAUUGGCCUCUAUUUCUGUUGGUUUUUUGGUUCAGUUAAGAUUGGCUUCAGGUGUGGAAAAUGGUUAGAAAAAUUAUGUUAUAAACUUCUGUUGUAAAGUUAACCGACUCUGGUGUGUUUUGUUUUCUCUUGUGCAAGAAGUUUUAUUGAAGCAGUGGUUACGGAUGAUCUUAGAGGUUAAAGAAGUUAGGAGUUCCAAAAGGGAUUAAAGGGUUUUCUCCUUUAUGCUAUUGGAGCUGUUUUUGAUUUGUUGUUGCGUAUUGAUUGUUGUUUUCGUUUUGCUUCGCCCUAGCUUGCGUUGUAGCUUACGUGGCCUGCAUUUUGUAUUGCAACAUCGUGGCUUUUCCAUUUCAGAUUGUAGUUUUGUUCCUGGUUUUGGUGAAGUGAUUCCGUUGGGCUGCAUUGCACCGUGGGUAAAAAUCCAAGAUUCCGACUUUGGUUCGUUGCUGUUUCGGCUUUUCAUCUGGUUUUGAUUAAGCUUGAAAUGAAGGUGAAUGAGAUGUGCGGCUAAUGGACUGUUAUGCCUUAUGAAUGGCUUGCUUGGACCGUUUGGAGUGCAUGAGCUAACCCAGAAUUUAUGGAUUUUUGGAAUGCUUUUGAUCUCUAUGCAAUUUUAGGAUUCAAGAUUGUGGUAAUGUAGGAUUUAAAUGAUUGUAAGAAAUGUUGCAAAUUUGAAAUUGAAUGUAUGGGAAAUUGAAUUGUAUUAAAAUUGGUUAAAUGCUAUGGAAUUAGAAUGGUUGAAAUUGAA